Long non-coding RNA from Motacilla alba alba, 1598 nucleotides. RefSeq lists it as uncharacterized. Lineage: Eukaryota; Metazoa; Chordata; Aves; Passeriformes; Motacillidae. The record is from RefSeq and is a predicted model, not a curated record. The transcript is spliced from 3 exons.
CUCUCUGUCACCAGCCUGCUCUUGACUUUUAGAAGAGAUUUAUUUUACCACCAUGGAUAGGAGCAGUGGGUCUGAUGUUAGAUGUUCGCAGGUAUAUUGAACAAACUCUGCAGCAUGUGCAUUGGGUGCUUAAUCUCAUUGUUUCCUACGAGAUGGGAUUCCUAAAUUGCUGAUGGUAGAGCAAAAUAUGAAAAGAAGUGUUUUUCCUGGCUAUAUGAGGGAUUGGGAGACCAUGGAGCUGAGAAUCCUGGUGUGGAAAGGAGUAAUGAAUCUGGGAAUGGAAUUGGAAAGUGUCAGACGCUCCACGUGGUACCUUCAUGCAUCACUGCACAAGGGGCUGCCACAGAAAGAAGUCAGCAGACUGCUGUUCUUUUGCACUGGAUUUAAAUACAUAAUAUGACAAGUGUUUCACUAGCAUUGUUAGAAAAUUAUCUGAAGAUUUUGAUUUUCUUCUUUUUCUGUACAUUGAGCACUGAAAUAACAUUGAUAGACACUGUGCUGCUUUGUAUUACUGUUUUUAUUUUAGGCUAUAAGUGAUAUUUUGUAUGUCUGUUAGGUUUUUAAUCAGGCUAGGCUUUAUCAGAGAGCAAAUAUUUUGGCUAAAUUACUGUGAUUCUGAGAUUUCCAGAGCAGUGAGAGGCCAUUCUGCCCCAAGAUCCCGCACAUUUACUGAAUUUGGCCUUAUACCACACAGAAAACACUGCAGUUUUGUUCCUGAUAAAUAUUAACUGAUGAAAUAAAUUAGGUAGUGGGAAGACAAGAUCAUCUUUGCAGUUGUAAAGAAAUAAAUAGGUGAUAGACAGUAGGUAACAUGAAGCAAAAAAAAAAAAAAGAAAAAAAGAAAAUAUGAGAGUUGGGUGGAAAGAAGACACUGCUUUUAUUUCAACAGCAAUUUACUAGUGGAGGCAGGGUGCAGUGAGGAGGAAAGAGCUCUUCAGAAUUCUUCAGAGCUGGGAAAUAAAAAAGCAUUCCAAAUAAAAAAAGAGACGAUUAUGUCAGGAAAAAGGUGCAUGUUUCUCCCAUCUUCAGCAAAGGCAAGAAUGACAACAACCCAAAUAUCGUCACCUUUAUGCUAUGACAUGUUAUGUCCUUAGAGAAGCCACCUCUGGGUACAUGAUGGACUGACUGGGGACAUCUAUCAUCAGUGUUACAAUGGCCAAUUAUACCUGACUGACAUGACUGUUUUCUGUGGGGGGAUCAGACUGUCUCUCUUGCAAACAAGGUAAGGGAAACGAAAGUCGUAUACCAUAACAAGACUUUUGUUGUGGUUUCUCACAGUACUCUUUUUGUCAAACCAAGGAGACAUGGCUUGUAAGUAUGGACUACAUGGUGGCUGAGAAACUGGCUGGCUCACCAGCCUCAGCGGAGUGCUAGUGUUUCAAAGCCUAACUGCUUGUCAUCUGGAUUAAAAAGAAAAUAGUUCUCCAUUAUUAUCUCCAAAUACUGGAGCAGAGCCCAAAGUGAUUGCAGAAUCUUCGUACAGGAGUUUUGACAGAAGUUGACUAGACCAUAGACUGAGCAAAAGAAUCUAAAAUUGAAGCUGGCCUUGCUUUGGGCAGAAGGUUGAGCUGGGUGUCUCCCAGAUGUCCCUUUGAACC